GGAAUAGCACAGCAGUAGAGCAUAUGCUUAGUAUGCACAAGACCCUGGGUUCAAUCCCCAGUACCUCCA
RNAcentral lists this transfer RNA (69 nucleotides) under Camelus dromedarius (Arabian camel). It matches the Rfam family "tRNA". Rfam says of the family: Transfer RNA (tRNA) molecules are approximately 80 nucleotides in length. Their secondary structure includes four short double-helical elements and three loops (D, anti-codon, and T loops). Lineage: Eukaryota; Metazoa; Chordata; Mammalia; Artiodactyla; Camelidae. The record is from Rfam by way of RNAcentral. RNAcentral also lists the same sequence under 1 other name.